Molecule: ribosomal RNA, 497 nt
Filed under: uncultured bacterium
Lineage: Bacteria
Description: partial 16S ribosomal RNA
Rfam family: Bacterial small subunit ribosomal RNA
Source: RNAcentral
GAUGAACGCUGGCGGCGUGCCUAAUACAUGCAAGUCGAGCGAACAGACGAGGAGCUUGCUCCUCUGACGUUAGCGGCGGACGGGUGAGUAACACGUGGAUAACCUACCUAUAAGACUGGGAUAACUUCGGGAAACCGGAGCUACUACCGGAUAAUAUAUUGAACCGCAUGGUUCAAUAGUGAAAGACGGUUUUGCUGUCACUUAUAGAUGGAUCCGCGCCGCAUUAGCUAGUUGGUAAGGUAACGGCUUACCAAGGCGACGGUGCGUAGCCGACCUGAGAGGGUGAUCGGCCACACUGGAACUGAGACACGGUCCAGACUCCUACGGGAGGCAGCAGUAGGGAAUCUUCCGCAAUGGGCGAAAGCCUGACGGAGCAACGCCGCGUGAGUGAUGAAGGUCUUCGGAUCGUAAAACUCUGUUAUUAGGGAAGAACAAAUGUGUAAGUAACUAUGCACGUCUUGACGGUACCUAAACAGAAAGCCACGGCUAACUACGUG